CCGGCGUGGGGUCUGCGCGUCAGCGAAAGAGAGGAAAAGGAGAGGGGAGGGAAGCAGGCCGCGUGCGUGGGCUAGCCAGGCCUCGCGCGAGGGGAGCUGGGGUUGGUGUGGGCCGAGCGCUGGGGAGGCUGGGAGGGAGUUUGGCUGGGCCAAGCUGGGAGUUUGUUUUCUCUUUCUCUUUUUCUUUUAUUUCUUUUCUUUUAUUCCAAAUCCAUUUUAAAAAAUCACUUUGAAAUACUUUUAAACUUUAGUCAAACCACUCAAGUCAACAAAAAUUAAUGCAAAAGCAUGAAUGCACAACAAGUGGCUAAGUCCUAUGAUAAAUUUUAUUUUAAUAAAAAAUAUUAUUUUCCUAUGUUUCAUGAGCACAAAAAGUCAUAAAUAAAUCGUUUUCACCUAUUUUUAAAAUGAGCAAAAUUUUGGGUGUUACAAAUCUACCCUCCUUAAAAUGAAAACACAGGAUAAAGAUCUUGAUAACUCUUUUAACUUUAUAACUUGCAUACCAAAGAUAAACUCAAAUUUUUUUUCCAUAGAGUGUCUAUUAUUCAUAAUUGAUCAAAGUCCAUCUUGACUAUCAACUUUUUGACUUAUACAACUCAAAAGACAUGAUGACUUAGCAUGGAUUUGCCUCCUCAGGUAGGAGUUGACCACCGUAAUACUCAAUUCUUUUCCCUGAUGGUGCGGUUAAGAAAAUUUUCCACUAGGUAGCAUAGAUCACUCCUUUGUGUGCACAUAACCAUCCAUUGCCAAAAACCAAAGGAAUGUCGAGUGACUCUAGCAUAAUGAGGUUUACUAUGAAGUUCUCCUUGCUUAUGACCAAAUUGAUAUUCAAGCAAACCUGAUCUACCUAUAUUUCUCCCAUUGGGGUUCGAACUAACAAGGCUUCCUGGUUGGACACUACACUCUCUGUCAUCAAGUGACCAGUGUCAGUAACUCAGCAAAGAUAGUUGAUCGUAACCAUAGGAUAUCUCCGAAGACAAUUAUCACUUCAAGAUAGUUUUAAAAUGCAUCAUCCCAUGAUAUCAAAGUACUACCCCCCUUAAGACCAGGUUGAUUGGGGGACACUAGGGACUAGUUCUCCUAUCCUUUUUGUACACUACACAUCAUAGUCCUUUAUAUUCGUUGUACCGAGUCUCUUGAUUCAAGGUUAGUUUCAUCACUAAGUUCCCAUUAUCGGUACCUUUAUCAUGGUUAAGUUGCUUCACUCUCACUUUGUACAUAUAGCUUUAUAGGCUUUGGUGUCAUCUGAUCCUCAUAACAUAACUCUCAAUCCAUGAGUAUCAGCAAUGACAUAUAUUCCCUUUAAUAUUCCCUGAAUGGGAUGAUAUCUUGAAUCAAUACCAAUUUACCAAGCGCUUGUGAUCCUCACAUAUGAUCCAACACUAGCCAAUCCGUCUCAUUGUAAGUACUUUAAUUGGGCUACCCCCUUAAAAGGGUCAACUAGGGGACACAAGAAAGUUAGCUUGCAUAUUUUCCAGACAAGUUAACUAACAUUGAGAACCUCUGACAUUCCAAAAAACUUAUGUGCAAUAGAGCAAACAGGUAUCCUGAAAUUUUCUCGUGAUAUGAAAAACACCAGUGUAGUAAUAUGGACAUAACUCUUAUUCUGUGAAUCCAAUAGAGUUGUGGCUUGUACCGUUAGAAAACUUAUGAAAUUACCAGCAUCUUUCCUGUAGAAGACCUACUUAGGUUCUGUCUUUAAGCUCAGGUAAAACAACCAAACUUAAUAUCCAUCCUGAAAAUGUUUCAGCAAAAGUGCAGCAGCUUCCAGAAGUUAUAUCCUGAGCUACUUAACUCAUCUGGAGAUGAUACUUACAUAUUUGAAAAGCUUAGAAAAUCCUCUACAACCUUUGUAUACAACUUUUUUCCAGAUUCUGUCUUUAACUUGGCCGAAAAUAGGAAAUGCCAGAUCUGUCCAGAUUUUGAACCAGAACAGAAACAUCCAAGUGUAAAUGUCAUAUCUCAGGUUCUACUUAUCCAAUUGAGUUCCAGUUUAUACUGUUGGAAAGCUUAGAAAAUUGUUUUCAAUUUUUCUAUAGAACACUUUUCAAAAUUCUAUAGCUAUAUUUAUCUCAAACAGUAAUCAACCAAAACUAAUCUAGAUUCUUGGCAGCACACAGUGCCGGCCCUGGAGAGGUGCCGGAGGUGCGACCGCUGAGGGCCCAUGGAAGGAGGGGGCCCAGACCCAUGUAUACACAUACCCCAUCCCUUAGUAUAUACUGUGUAUGCGAGCGCCGCAAGCCGUCAUACGAAGAGACGGAGCGAGUCACGCACGGAAGCCACAGACUCAUGCAGAUCGCAGACACACACACAUGGAGCCGCCGCCGGCCGUGCACUCAGAAUCACCACUCACGGAGGCACGCAACGGCCAGACAUUGCGCACGGCGAAGGCAGCGUCUUGGCAAUCAGGGCCCAGUGCCGAUUACUGCAACAGUGCAACCGAUUGCACUGUUCAUCAACAAUCAACAGGUCAUCAUCCGAUGAGGCAUAGCCCCUAGGUAAUUUAUUCCUUGCAUCGUUUUUUUAAUCUAAAUUAAUUAUUUCAGACUUCUAUUACUCUAGGUACUUAUAGUCAUAUUUUUCUUUUUAGGUGCUAGAAUCUUAUGAUGUUGCCUAAGAAACAUUUGUGGGGGCUCAGAAAAGAAAACGGAAAAAACUAGCAGACCAAUUUGAGAUCAACUAUGUCACAAGAAAGGUUAAAUGGAUUGGCUAUGUGCACCAUUAAGAGGGAUAUCUUGGACACCAUUGAUCUUAAUACCGUCCUUGAUGAUUUUGCAUUAAGAAAUGCCUGAAGAAGUAUCUUUUUGUGAGAAGCAAUGGAUAUUAUAGAGUUCUAUUCUUCCUUAAGGUAAUCAUAUUAGUUUUAGUCUAUUUUUGUUCCUUGAUAUCAUGAAACAUUAAAUGAAAAAUAUAUUAUUGGAUUUGUUUUUACUUUGCAAGAAAAAUUAGCACUUAUAUAUAUUAUAAGAUUUAUAUAUAGUCUAGAGGGACCGUCACGACGAACUCGCUAGAGGGCCCUCAAAAUCCUAGGACCGGCACUGGCAGCACAGUUGUAUCAUCUUGUGAUUUUUGUAACUUCUAAACCAUAAUAGCUAUGAGGGUGAUUCUUGCGGUCAGAGAAAGAUCUUGAAGUCCACUUUCAUCCAAAAGUUUCUCAUGAUUUUUGUUCAUCCGAGAACAGAGAUAUAAUCUGAUAAAGAGAGGAUACUCCGGAAAGGCAGGAUAAGAUAACAAGAGAAAAACCAAAACCCAACUAUUUAUUUCACUAAUCCUUAUACCUUAGACCUAUAACUAAAUGAAAUUAUGGAGGAAACCCACAAGAUCAUUACACUCAUUACAAAGAUCCAAAUCAAGCAUAAGCAUAAUGACAAACCAACUAAGCAUUAAAGGUUCACACUUCACUCAACUUGCGAUACUUUCGUUUUCUUCAUAGGGAGGGUAAAGAUCCUAAAACUUAUAUUUCAAAGACGCAAGAAGAUGGUAACAAAAGGUUUUAAUAGCAUACCAAAUCGAGGAGUAAAGGUAAGAACGAGUACUUUUAAAAUAAGCAACAAGGUAGAGACAAAUAGCAAAGAUAGAGAUAUAGUAUGGAUGAUAAUACCAAGAUUUAUAGAUAUGCACCAUAUGUGAGUUUUAGAAGUCAAAUCCCACAUAUAGCUACAAAUAAAGGGUAAUAUCAAAGGACAAUGCAUAAAUAUAUAACGUACUUAGUAUAAAAGAGAUAACCUUAAGUAUCAAACAGCGGAUAGACAAUCUCCAAACAUUAGGUAUUAACUUCACUCUACAGGAUCCAACUGACUGGUGGAUCACAAGCCCAAAACUUCUCCUGAGGUGUGGGGGAAAUUGCAAGAGUGAGCACAUAUUGUACUCAACAAGUAUAACCAGGGGUUCAUGAGGCUCAAUAAGCUGACACUGGUUUGACUGCAUUUAGCUUUUAUAUGUAGAUAGCAUAUUUAUAUUUAGAUAGCAAUUAUCAAGGUAGCAUAAUUAAUUCCCGUAACCACAUGAUCAAUGUAUACAAGAAUUAAGAAUAACACAUAUAAACAACAAAAUAAACCAUCAUUUAUCAUUAAUCAUAUUCAUCAGUGUCCAUCUAUUCCGUCAAUUUUCCGGGAUGCCCGUAUCAGUGGGCACGGCUAGUAUACCAGAUUUAACACUCUGCAUAGGUUGUACAUCUUUACCCAUGAGUCAUGAUUUACCCUUUCGCCCGAGGUAGCUAAUCUCUUAACCCCCUUCCAAGGGAGGUCGGCAGGGAUCACUAUGAAGCCUUUCAAAAGUUCAUCUAACAUGUUAGGGGCCGCAAGGUUUCCUUUGCGCGCAGAUAUAGAGCCCCCCUUCCGAUGGCACAAUGACUCGCAGCCUAUACACAUACAGAUAGAGGCCACACUAUACCCAAAACGGUUCAGCCCCUCCGCCCUUUCGGGUAACCUCUAACAAACUAGAAAAGUUCUUCAUACUGAGCUGAAGCCAUAGCCAUAUAGCCCUCAUGGUUGUACGAGUUGUCCCAGCUUUUGCCAAGGGAUAAGUCCUUAUGGAGGGUCAAGAUUAAUCCAGCAAAAGCCAGAGUUCUUUCCACCCUUUUUAUUCAAGUUGCUAGAAAGCUUAUUUUAUUGUUUAUUGUUUAUCCAAAAAUUCAUGUUACAAGAUCAUGUAUUAUAUUCAAGCACUAGCAAGAACUACCUAAAUGUAUAUCCAAAUAGGUAACAUGGAAUUCAGGAUAACAAUCAUCUAUGAUUUUGCUAAGGUCAUCAAGGUGGACACAUGCAUAUGAUAUAUAUUGUAUUAAUUGUGUAUAGGUAACAAGGAUAGUCCCAAGUUAUACUUGCCUUGAUCAAAGCUCUCCUGAGCCUGCUGCUGGUCGUCAAAAGCUUGACCUUGAUCACCAACGUAUCGCUCACCGUCUAUACUCGAUCAUCAAUCAACAACACGAAAUCCAAUGUAGACAAUCAUACACGAAGCAAACAAGCUAUAAUUAGAACAAUACAACAAACAGUGGUAAAAGAAAUAUAAAAGUUUAUCAAAAUAUUCUACGCAGCGCUACGAUCACAUAAACGUAAAGUUCACGAAAAUCGGAAUUAAAAAGUAGAAGAUAUGAAUUUUCAAAGAUUUUAUAUAGAAAAGUAAUUAAUUAAAUAGGUUCACGAAAUUAAAAAGUUUCAAACUGGUAGAACAGUGUGACUAUCUUGUAGAGCUCGUGAAAACGAACCCAACGCAAUUUGAAUGGGUCAAAACGGAAUUAAAAUAAAUAUUUUAUAGCCAAAACAAGUUCAGUGGCAUUUUAGUAAAUACUGAAAACGUAUUUUGAAACAAGCCGGCAGACUUUACGUCUUCCAACUCAGAAAGCGUAUUUCAUCCCGUACGUUUUGGACCGCGGGUUUCAUAUCUAAAAACGUCAGGGGCUCUUUAAUAAAAUCUACCCCGAAGGGGUAUGUUCUAAUCUGGCGCGUUGGGUUUAGAUCGAACGGCUCUGGAUCAAUCCCAAGAGGGAAGAGGGAUGCCGGCCGGCUACAGAGCCUCCGGCGGUGGUGCCAUGGCCGGAGGGCCUUGCUCCUCGCCGGAGUUGGUCGGGAAAGUGUUCCGGUGCACCGUUUAACAAAUCAAGAGCAUGGGGAGCAAGAGGAGGGAAUGGCGAACUCACCCCGAGGCAAAAUCGAAGGCAAGGACAACUCGAAGAUGUCCUACGUCAUGAUUUGGCGGAUCCUGGGUCCCUGCGAGGUUCGGCGGUGAAGUGAGAGCAGUAGAGACCGAGAGAGAGUACAGAGAGGAUCUCGGCAGCUUCUUUACCUCGGCACGUGGUUGCGAGCGAGAAUUGAGCACCCCGGAUCGAAAACCAUGGCGGUGGCUUCUCAGUUUAACGGCGAGAUCUGAACUGCGGUGGCUAAAGCGGCUCAGGCCUCUUGCGGAUGGGGAAAAGGGUCACGAGAGAAAGCUCGGAGCUUUAAAGGGAUUCGGUGGCGCGUGGGGAAAGAAAUCCCGAAGAAAUUGGCGUGAUUGACGCUGGGGCUCGUGUCCGGCUCCGUUUCGAUCGGAGGAAGAAGAAAGGAAGGCCACUGACCUGUGGACCCGAUACGUCAGCGUCUCCCGGCGUGGGGUUUGUGCGUCAGCGAAAGAGAGGAAAAGGAGAGGGGAGGGAAGCAGGCCGCGCGCGUGGGCUAGCCAGGCCUCGCGCGAGGGGAGCUGGGGUUGGUGUGGGCCGAGCCCUGGGGAGGCUGGGAGGGAGUUUGGCUGGGCCAAGCUGGGAGUUUGUUUUCUCUUUCUCUUUUUCUUUUAUUCCUUUUCUUUUAUUCCAAAUCCAUUUUAAAAAAUCACUUUGAAAUACUUUUAAACUUUAGUCAAACCACUCAAGUCAACAAAAAUUAAUGCAAAAGCAUGAAUGCACAACAAGUGGCUAAGUCCUAUGAUAAAUUUUAUUUUAAUGAAAAAUAUUAUUUUUCUAUGUUUCAUGAGCACAAAAAGUCAUAAAUAAAUCGUUUUCACCUAUUUUUAAAAUGAGCAAAAUUUUGGGUGUUAC
This 6511-nucleotide long non-coding RNA is filed under the name Sorghum bicolor (sorghum). RNAcentral describes it as "long non-coding RNA (SBIC_LNC013721)". The record is from RNAcentral. Lineage: Eukaryota; Viridiplantae; Streptophyta; Magnoliopsida; Poales; Poaceae.